Molecule: ribosomal RNA, 253 nt
Filed under: uncultured bacterium
Lineage: Bacteria
Description: partial 16S ribosomal RNA
Rfam family: Bacterial small subunit ribosomal RNA
Source: RNAcentral
UGCGGAGGGUGCAAGCGUUAUCCGGAUUUACUGGGUUUAAAGGGUGCGCAGGCGGAUAUGUAAGUCAGUGGUGAAAUCUCUAGGCUUAACCUGGAAAUUGCCGUUGAUACUAUAUAUCUUGAAUGCUGUGGAGGUAAGCGGAAUAUGUCAUGUAGCGGUGAAAUGCUUAGAUAUGACAUAGAACACCUAUUGCGAAGGCAGCUUACUACGCAGAUAUUGACGCUCAUGCACGAAAGCGUGGGGAUCAAACAGG